This is an RNA transcript of Dipodomys spectabilis (banner-tailed kangaroo rat), 4355 nucleotides long. It is a transcript of the gene named spermatid perinuclear RNA binding protein, with no coding region annotated. The transcript has 18 exons. NCBI's taxonomy places the organism in Eukaryota, Metazoa, Chordata, Mammalia, Rodentia, Heteromyidae. The record is from RefSeq and is a predicted model, not a curated record.
GUGUAUUUCAGAGAACAACUCUUCAAGCAUCUUUGCUAUAUUUGACACUGAGCUGUCAGGGGACUCAGGCUUAUGAGGAAGUACUGUCACACAAAACAGUGUCUAGUGAAGAAGACCAGAAAGAGAGGAAAGGACCGGAAAAAGAAGCUCAAGUACUACAGAAAACCAUGAGAUCUAUUCGAUCUUUUGCCAAUGAUGAUCGCCAUGUCAUGGUGAAACAUUCAACAAUUUAUCCAUCUCCAGAGGAACUUGAAGCUGUUCAGAAUAUGGUGUCUACUGUUGAAUGUGCGCUUAAACAUGUCUCAGAUUGGCUGGAUGAAACAAAUAAAGGCACAAAAACAGAGGGCGAGACAGAAGUGAAGAAAGAUGAGGCUGUAGAAAACUAUUCCAAGGAUCAGCGAGGUCGGACAUUGUGUGGGGUAAUGAGGAUUGGACUGGUUGCAAAAGGCUUACUGAUUAAGGAUGAUAUGGACUUGGAGCUGGUUUUAAUGUGCAAAGACAAACCCACAGAGACCCUGCUAACUACAGUGAGAGAUAAUCUUCCUGUACAGAUUCAGAAACUGACAGAAGAAAAAUACCAAGUGGAACAAUGUGUAAAUGAGGCAUCUAUUAUAAUUCGGAACACAAAAGAGCCAACAUUAACUCUGAAGGUGAUACUUACUUCCCCUCUAAUUAGGGACGAAUUGGAGAAGAAGGAUGGAGAAAAUGUUUCGAUGAAAGAUCCUCCGGACUUAUUGGACAGGCAAAAAUGCCUGAACGCCUUGGCGUCUCUUCGACAUGCCAAAUGGUUUCAGGCAAGGGCAAAUGGAUUAAAAUCAUGUGUAAUUGUCCUCCGAAUUCUGCGUGAUUUGUGCAACAGAGUCCCCACAUGGGCACCACUGAAAGGAUGGCCACUAGAGCUUAUAUGUGAAAAGUCUAUAGGUACUUGUAAUAGACCUUUGGGCGCUGGGGAGGCCUUGAGACGAGUAAUGGAGUGUUUGGCAUCUGGAAUACUACUUCCUGGAGGCCCUGGUCUUCAUGAUCCUUGUGAGCGAGACCCAACAGAUGCUCUGAGCUAUAUGACUAUCCAACAAAAAGAAGAUAUUACCCACAGUGCACAGCAUGCGCUUAGACUGUCAGCGUUUGGCCAGAUUUAUAAAGUGUUGGAGAUGGACCCCCUUCCCUCUAGUAAGCCUUUUCAGAAGUAUUCCUGGUCAGUUACUGAUAAAGAAGGUGCUGGGUCAUCAGCUAUAAAGAGGCCAUUUGAAGAUGGGUUAGGGGAUGAUAAAGAUCCCAAUAAGAAGAUGAAACGAAACUUAAGAAAAAUCCUGGAUAGUAAAGCAAUAGACCUUAUGAAUGCAUUAAUGAGGCUAAAUCAGAUCAGACCUGGGCUUCAGUAUAAGCUCUUGUCUCAGUCUGGCCCUGUCCAUGCCCCAGUCUUCACAAUGUCUGUAGAUGUGGAUGGCACAACUUAUGAAGCCUCAGGACCAUCCAAGAAAACAGCAAAACUUCACGUAGCAGUGAAGGUUUUACAGGCAAUGGGAUACCCAACAGGCUUUGAUGCAGAUAUUGAAUGUAUGAGUUCCGAUGAAAAGUCAGACAAUGAAAGCAAAAAUGAAACAGUGUCUUCAAACUCAAGCAAUAAUACUGGAAAUUCUACAACUGAAACCUCCAGUACCUUAGAGGUAAGAACUCAGGGCCCUAUCCUCACAGCAAGUGGCAAAAAUCCUGUCAUGGAGCUCAAUGAAAAAAGAAGAGGUCUCAAGUAUGAACUUAUCUCAGAAACUGGUGGAAGCCAUGAUAAGCGCUUUGUAAUGGAGGUAGAAGUAGAUGGGCAGAAAUUCCGAGGCGCAGGUCCAAAUAAGAAAGUGGCAAAGGCAAGUGCUGCGUUAGCUGCCCUGGAGAAGCUGUUUUCUGGCCCCAAUGCAGCAAAUAAUAAGAAAAAGAAGAUUAUUCCUCAGGCAAAGGGUGUUGUGAAUACAGCUGUAUCUGCAGCAGUCCAGGCAGUUCGGGGCAGAGGAAGAGGAACUCUGACAAGGGGAGCUUUUGUUGGGGCUACGGCUGCUCCUGGCUACAUAGCUCCAGGCUAUGGAACACCUUAUGGUUACAGUACAGCUGCCCCUGCCUAUGGUUAAUACUUUUAAGCAGUUUUCAGCACGUUUAUCUCACUUUAUUCUCGUUCUCCUCGGACCUUCGUAGCCAUAUCACUUGUAUAAAAUAGGCUGAGAUAUAGUGACUGUAAGCUGUGAUCUCAGUAUACAAAGAUGGAGGCUGGCCCUGCCUGGGACACAUACGCUUUUCAUCCGGCGUCAAGUUCUGCGCUGUGCUCCGGCCUCCUAAGGAAGGUGCAUGUCAGUGGAUACCAUAAGUCAUGUCAUAGCAGAACUAGAGCCCUGCCCGCCAACCUGUCCUAGCCCCCAGUCAAGGUCGGUACCACCCCGUCCUGUUUUCCUAUGCCAGGGAACGUGAUGGUCAGAAACAUUAAAACUAAAAAACGAAAUAUUCUGCUCUGGGAGUGUGGAGUCAGAUCUCCAUCCCUUUAUUCUUCAGGGAAUCUGAAUCGAGACUAGGGAUAGGAAUUGCAGACAGCUAAAAGGACCAUCUUCUUACUUUUAACUUAAAAGUUGCAUUUCCAAGUUCUGGCUCCUUUCCUUCUUCCGGAGCGUGUGUUCUCGCUCUUCCAGGCUGGCACUGCUCACCUCCAAGCUUGGGAGCUGGCUUUCUGCUGGCACAGGCACCUUGGCUUUCGGAGGAUCUUGGUGGUUGGGCAGGUCAGUGACAGGUCACACUGGUCCUUGACCCACUCGUGCCACAGCCCCGACACCCCGAGGGGAUGAUGAUUGCCUGCUUCCUCAGGCCCUCUCCACUUGAGGCCAGCCGUGCUGCCCUCGGAUGAGCCCUUUCCUCCCGGCAUCACCUUCCAAGCACAGACUGGCCUUUUGCCAGCUGGUAGCAGUCGCUCUGCACCAGUGGGGUGCGGAAUGCUGCUUUUCCCUAGCUCACUUUAUGUGGCAGCUCUUGAGCAUUGGCCCACCCUGACUGUGGAGGUGCUUGGCCACCCGCACUCCCUCCUGUGGAGAGGAGAGGAGGCUUGGGGGUAGCCGCUGCUGGGCAGGCAGCCACGGUCUUCCCAGAGACUUUGUUGUCUGUGUGCAACCAAGAAUCCAGGGUGGCUCUGCUGGCUGCUGAGCUAGUCACACUGGGGCUCGGGGCAAAGUGAGUGGUUGAGCUGGGUGGGACCCUCCUGCCACUGGCCCUUCCUUGGGUAGGCCCUCUAGCUUGGGAGCUUUAUUGUAUUUUUCCCAAAGCAUCUCCAAACUCAGGCGACUCAUCUGCCUGGCCAGUUGUGUGGUAUCUUGGGUCUCUGAAAGUGGCUGGUUGGGGUCCAGCCAUUUUUUCAGGAAGGAAAGUCUCCUGAGAUAGCUAUAAUUAUGGCACGCGCGCGUGCGUGCGCACACACACACACACACACACACUCACACACACUCACUCACUCACUCACUCACUCACUCACUCUACCAGAAGUGAGGCCAAAUCCCUCACUAAACCCAGGGCCUUUGGUCAGGAAUUGCUAGGGGAGGGCGGAGCUUACGCCCUUGGAAUCCAUACCCAUGACGGUGACUUAUCUGUCCUGUGGCGUGUAGCACUCCCAGAGGAGUGAGACCCGUCACGCUUGCUUCUCAAGAAAGCGCAGUCUGCAGAGGAGGUGGGAGGCGCAGCUUGUGGACACCCGAGGCCCAGAGCUGUUCACGAGAGGGCUUUCUUCCUCCUAAUGUGGAAGGUGUCCAGUUGGGGUGCCGGGGGAGUGGUAGGUAGGAAACCUGUCCCCAUUGCACGGUUACACAUGUGACUUUGGACUUCUGGCAGUAGCUUACUUGGGUCCGAUGCUAGCCAAGUUAGUAUUUAGAAGUCUGUUUAAAAUACCUAUCUGUAUCUAUUUGUGUUUUUCUGAAUACACAAGUGUACAUAGUAUAACUGACAGUGCAACGUCCUUGGCAAUAAUUUCAUGUUGUGUAUUAUGUUAAAAAAACAUUUGAAACCACAACCACCAUGGAGUGUGGUGCCCCUGCGGGGCUGUGGUUACAUGUAGGACUCUGGACUUUAAGCCGACGGCGCGGUUGAAGCAGCAGCCUGCAUGUGUGGACUGUCAUCAGUGCCUCGCCCAGAGAUGCCUGGCCUUCAUCCAAAGGGACCCCGCUGCCCUGGCUCCCUCCUGCAGGCAGCGCCCACACUGUGGCUCCUUCAUGCUGAGUGCGUUGGACUCUGCUGUAGACUGAGCCUCUUGUCUGGCUGCUGCAGUUUGUCUGUAAUGCCCUGACAUGUUGCAUUUUCCCGUUGGAUGAAUAAAAAUAAAUGCUUCUGUGUUCCAACAGCAA